Molecule: transfer RNA, 77 nt
Filed under: Agaribacillus aureus
Lineage: Bacteria; Pseudomonadati; Bacteroidota; Cytophagia; Cytophagales; Splendidivirgaceae
Description: tRNA-Asn
Rfam family: tRNA
About the family: Transfer RNA (tRNA) molecules are approximately 80 nucleotides in length. Their secondary structure includes four short double-helical elements and three loops (D, anti-codon, and T loops).
Source: RNAcentral
UCCCCCUUAGCUCAGUUGGUUAGAGCGGCUGACUGUUAAUCAGUAGGUCCUUGGUUCGAGCCCAAGAGGGGGAGCCA